RNAcentral lists this ribosomal RNA (460 nucleotides) under uncultured bacterium. RNAcentral describes it as "partial 16S ribosomal RNA". It matches the Rfam family "Bacterial small subunit ribosomal RNA", at positions 338 to 795 of the family's 1533-position model. The record is from RNAcentral.
CCUACGGGAGGCAGCAGUGAGGAAUAUUGGUCAAUGGACGAGAGUCUGAACCAGCCAAGUAGCGUGAAGGAUGACUGCCCUAUGGGUUGUAAACUUCUUUUAUAUGGGAAUAAAAUGUUCCACGUGUGGGAUUUUGUAUGUACCAUAUGCAUAAGGAUCGGCUAACUCCGUGCCAGCAGCCGCGGUAAUACGGAGGAUCCGAGCGUUAUCCGGAUUUAUUGGGUUUAAAGGGAGCGUAGGUGGAUUGUUAAGUCGGUUGUGAAAGUUUGCGGCUCAACCGUAAAAUUGCAGUUGAAACUGGCAGUCUUGAGGACAGUAGAGGUGGGCGGAAUUCGUGGUGUAGCGGUGAAAUGCUUAGAUAUCACGAAGAACUCCGAUUGCGAAGGCAGUUCACUGGACUGCAACUGACACUGAGGCUCGAAAGUGUGGGUAUCAAACAGGAUUAGAUACCCCUGUAGUC